Molecule: ribosomal RNA, 640 nt
Filed under: Lactobacillus acidophilus
Lineage: Bacteria; Bacillati; Bacillota; Bacilli; Lactobacillales; Lactobacillaceae
Description: bacterial SSU rRNA
Rfam family: Bacterial small subunit ribosomal RNA
Source: RNAcentral
GCAGUCGAGCGAGCGGACUAACAGAUUUACUUCGGUAAUGACGUUAGGAAAGCGAGCGGCGGAUGGGUGAGUAACACGUGGGGAACCUGCCCCAUAGUCUGGGAUACCACUUGGAAACAGGUGCUAAUACCGGAUAAGAAAGCAGAUCGCAUGAUCAGCUUUUAAAAGGCGGCGUAAGCUGUCGCUAUGGGAUGGCCCCGCGGUGCAUUAGCUAGUUGGUAAGGUAAAGGCUUACCAAGGCGAUGAUGCAUAGCCGAGUUGAGAGACUGAUCGGCCACAUUGGGACUGAGACACGGCCCAAACUCCUACGGGAGGCAGCAGUAGGGAAUCUUCCACAAUGGACGCAAGUCUGAUGGAGCAACGCCGCGUGAGUGAAGAAGGUUUUCGGAUCGUAAAGCUCUGUUGUUGGUGAAGAAGGAUAGAGGUAGUAACUGGCCUUUAUUUGACGGUAAUCAACCAGAAAGUCACGGCUAACUACGUGCCAGCAGCCGCGGUAAUACGUAGGUGGCAAGCGUUGUCCGGAUUUAUUGGGCGUAAAGCGAGCGCAGGCGGAAGAAUAAGUCUGAUGUGAAAGCCCUCGGCUUAACCGAGGAACUGCAUCGGAAACUGUUUUUCUUGAGUGCAGAAGAGGAGAGUGGAA